This 71-nucleotide transfer RNA is filed under the name Danio rerio (zebrafish). It matches the Rfam family "tRNA". Rfam says of the family: Transfer RNA (tRNA) molecules are approximately 80 nucleotides in length. Their secondary structure includes four short double-helical elements and three loops (D, anti-codon, and T loops). Lineage: Eukaryota; Metazoa; Chordata; Actinopteri; Cypriniformes; Danionidae. The record is from Rfam by way of RNAcentral.
GCAUUGGUGGCUUAGUAAUAGAAUUCUCGCCUCCCACACAGGGGACCCAGGUCCAAGUCCUGGCCAAUGCA